Molecule: long non-coding RNA, 363 nt
Filed under: Brassica napus (rape)
Lineage: Eukaryota; Viridiplantae; Streptophyta; Magnoliopsida; Brassicales; Brassicaceae
Description: long non-coding RNA (BNAP_LNC009937)
Source: RNAcentral
UUUAUGGAAGGUUUAGAAUGACGUUGGGUUAAGCAUUAUCUCUUCUCUACAAUCAUAGACAUUUCAAAAUUUUAAUAAUAUGUACUAUGUUAUUUCUUUUGUUACUAUUUUAUUUUGAUAAUGCUUCAUAUUGUGUACUAUGUGCAUAUUUUGAUAUUUGGGUUAUGGUUUAUAUAUUUUUUUAGGAUUUAGUGAUUAUUGUUUUGGAUUUAGUUUAUAGAACAUUUAGGUUGGCGUUGGGUUAAACAUUACCUCAUUCUCUGCAAUCAUAGACAUUUCAAAAUUUGAACAAUAUGUACUAUGCUAUUCGUUUGUUGCUAUUCUAUUUUGAUAAUGUUUCAUAUUAUGUACUAUUUACAUAUU